UACGAAGGGGGCUAGCGUUGUUCGGAAUUACUGGGCGUAAAGCGCACGUAGGCGGAUAUUUAAGUCAGGGGUGAAAUCCCAGAGCUCAACUCUGGAACUGCCUUUGAUACUGGGUAUCUGGAGUAUGGAAGAGGUGAGUGGAAUUCCGAGUGUAGAGGUGAAAUUCGUAGAUAUUCGGAGGAACACCAGUGGCGAAGGCGGCUCACUGGUCCAUUACUGACGCUGAGACUCGAAAGCAUGGGGAGCAAACAGG
This 253-nucleotide ribosomal RNA is filed under the name uncultured bacterium. RNAcentral describes it as "partial 16S ribosomal RNA". It matches the Rfam family "Bacterial small subunit ribosomal RNA", at positions 524 to 776 of the family's 1533-position model. The record is from RNAcentral.